This 65-nucleotide transfer RNA is filed under the name Stenocladius sp. FM17. Its description in RNAcentral is "tRNA-Met". Lineage: Eukaryota; Metazoa; Arthropoda; Insecta; Coleoptera; Lampyridae. The record is from RNAcentral.
AAAAAGAUAAGCUAAUUAAGCUUUUGGGUUCAUACCCCAAAUAUAAAGUAAAACUUUUCUUUUUA